Molecule: long non-coding RNA, 383 nt
Organism: Bombus impatiens (common eastern bumble bee)
Lineage: Eukaryota; Metazoa; Arthropoda; Insecta; Hymenoptera; Apidae
Exons: 3
Source: RefSeq, a predicted model, not a curated record
UGCGAGACGACGGACACGUGCGCGUCUGUGUAUGAAUUGUCAAACCUACUUGCGUCGGACAACAUCGGGCAGCCGUUUGAUACUUGUUGGCGUGAUUAAUACGAGUUCGAAGGUUGUAUAGAAAUGAAACGGAAUUGAGAUGAAGUAGAGGAAGAUCGUACUGGCAAUGAGCGACAAGUCUGUCCAUAACGGAAGAAUUCACUUAAACGGUACGGACAGAGAAAGGUACAGAGCUUUUUAGUUAUAGAGGAUACUUACUUUAUGGCACGUGAUGCAAAUGAACCAGAACUAGCAGUUCUAAACGAUUUCCAACAUUAGCACGUCGACUCCCCUUGCGAGUUCGAAGAUUUUUAGCGAGCCUGCAUAAAUAUAUAUAAUAUAUA